This is a non-coding RNA of Acanthosepion pharaonis, 101 nucleotides long. The record is from the annotation of a GenBank genome assembly. NCBI's taxonomy places the organism in Eukaryota, Metazoa, Mollusca, Cephalopoda, Sepiida, Sepiidae.
CACAUUGAAACACCAGUUUCCGCAUGAUCACCGAAGUUAAGCUACGCCGAGUCUGAUCAGUACCUUGAUGGGUGACCGCUUGGGAAUACCAGGUGCUAUAA